GGCAUGCUUAACACAUGCAAGUCGAACGGCAGCACGAGAGAGCUUGCUCUCUUGGUGGCGAGUGGCGGACGGGUGAGUAACGCGUAGGAAUCUACCCUGGAGCGGGGGACAACUUGGGGAAACCCAAGCUAAUACCGCAUACGCCCUACGGGGGAAAGCAGGGGACCUCUUCGGAGGCCUUGCACUCUAGGAUGAGCCUGCGUCCGAUUAGCUUGUUGGUGGGGUAACGGCCUACCAAGGCGACGAUCGGUAGCUGGUCUGAGAGGACGAUCAGCCACACUGGGACUGAGACACGGCCCAGACUCCUACGGGAGGCAGCAGUGGGGAAUAUUGGACAAUGGGCGCAAGCCUGAUCCAGCAAUGCCGCGUGUGUGAAGAAGGCCUGCGGGUUGUAAAGCACUUUCAAUUGGGAAGAAAAGCUCGAGGCUAAUAUCCUCGGGUCUUGACGUUACCUUUAGAAGAAGCACCGGCUAACUCCGUGCCAGCAGUCGCGGUAAUACGGAGGGUGCGAGCGUUAAUCGGAAUUACUGGGCGUAAAGCGCGCGUAGGCGGCUUGGUCAGUCGGAUGUGAAAUCCCUGGGCUCAACCUAGGAAUUGCAUUCGAUACUGCCUGGCUAGAGUGUGGUAGAAGGGAAGUGGAAUUCCAGGUGUAGCGGUGAAAUGCGUAGAUAUCUGGAGGAACAUCAGUGGCGAAGGCGACUUCCUGGACCAACACUGACCCUGAGG
Molecule: ribosomal RNA, 726 nt
Filed under: uncultured Gammaproteobacteria bacterium
Lineage: Bacteria; Pseudomonadati; Pseudomonadota; Gammaproteobacteria
Description: bacterial SSU rRNA
Rfam family: Bacterial small subunit ribosomal RNA
Source: RNAcentral